GGGGGUGAUCUAUGUUUUGAAGGUACAUCCUGCCCAGUGAUAAUUCAACGGCCGCGGUAUCCUGACCGUGCAAAGGUAGCAUAAUCAUUUGCCCUUUAAUUGGGGGCUAGUAUGAACGGAUAAACGAGGUUAUCGCUGUCUCGUGAAAAUUAAGAAAAAUUAGUCUUCAGGUGAAGAAACCUGAAUAAGUUGAAAAGACAAGAAGACCCUAUUGAGUUUUAUCUAAAUAAUAUCAUUUAUUCUAAAGAUUUGGUUGGGGCGACUAAGGAGCAAGUAAACCCUCCUAUACUUUCAAGAGAGAUAUCUCAAUUUUAAGUGAACCUUUACUGAUUAACAGAAUCAACUACCAUAGGGAUAACAGGCUGAUUUUCUUAGAGAGACCACAUUGAUAAGAAAGUUUGGCACCUCGAUGUUGGCUUAGGGAUACCUUUAAAUGCAGAAGUUUAAGAGGUUAGUUUGUUCAACUAUU
RNAcentral lists this ribosomal RNA (469 nucleotides) under Sthenelais limicola. RNAcentral describes it as "partial large subunit ribosomal RNA". It matches the Rfam family "Bacterial large subunit ribosomal RNA", at positions 1829 to 2589 of the family's 2925-position model. The record is from RNAcentral. Lineage: Eukaryota; Metazoa; Annelida; Polychaeta; Phyllodocida; Sigalionidae.